UCGGUCGGCCGGACGGUCGCGUCGCGUGAAAGCGCGCCGAGGAAAGUCCGGGCUCCAUGGGCAAGCUGCCAGGUAACGCCUGGGCACGCUGCAAAGCGUGACGGACAGUGCAACAGAAAAGACACCGCCUUUGCGCAAGCAGAGGUAAGGGUGAAAUGGUGGGGUAAGAGCCCACCGCGCGCGUGGCAACACGCGUGGCAAGGCAAACCCCAGCUGGAGCAAGGCCAAAUAGGCGGCGAGCAGCAGUCCUCUGCGAUCAAGACGCCGCGGGUUGGCUGCUAGAGUACGUGGGCGACCACGGACCGAGAGAAAUGACCGUCCGGAACUUCGGUUCCGACAGAACCCGGCUUAUAGGCCGGCCGUCAUC
This 367-nucleotide RNase P RNA is filed under the name Gemmatimonadota bacterium. Its description in RNAcentral is "RNase P RNA component class A". It matches the Rfam family "Bacterial RNase P class A". From Rfam's summary of the family: Ribonuclease P (RNase P) is a ubiquitous endoribonuclease, found in archaea, bacteria and eukarya as well as chloroplasts and mitochondria. Lineage: Bacteria; Pseudomonadati; Gemmatimonadota. The record is from RNAcentral.